This 591-nucleotide ribosomal RNA is filed under the name Boana sibleszi (La Escalera treefrog). Its description in RNAcentral is "partial large subunit ribosomal RNA". It matches the Rfam family "Bacterial large subunit ribosomal RNA", at positions 1796 to 2613 of the family's 2925-position model. Lineage: Eukaryota; Metazoa; Chordata; Amphibia; Anura; Hylidae. The record is from RNAcentral.
UCGCCUGUUUUAUCAAAAACAUCGCCUCUUGAUCAAAAAUAAGAGGUCCAGCCUGCCCAGUGACAUAGUUCAACGGCCGCGGUAUUCUAACCGUGCGAAGGUAGCGUAAUCACUUGUUCUUUAAAUAAGGACUAGUAUGAAUGGCACCACGAGGGUUACACUGUCUCCUUUUUUUAAUCAGUGAAACUAAUCUUCCCGUGAAGAAGCGGGAAUUUUUAUAUAAGACGAGAAGACCCUAUGGAGCUUUAAAUAAAUUAACACUUGCCACAUAAUAUUAAAUAACAAAGUAUAGCAAUAUGAUUAAUAAUUUUCGAUUGGGGUGAUCACGGAGUAAAAAACAACCUCCAUGCCGAAAGGGCCUGUCCCUGAGCAAAAAACUACGACUUUAAGCACUAAAAAAUUAACGUCCAUUGACCCAAUAACUUGAUCAACGAACCAAGUUACCCUAGGGAUAACAGCGCAAUCCACUUCAAGAGCCCCUAUCGACAAGUGGGUUUACGACCUCGAUGUUGGAUCAGGGUAUCCCAGUGGUGCAGCCGCUACUGAAGGUUCGUUUGUUCAACGAUUAAAACCCUACGUGAUCUGAGUUCA